CAAAAUGGGCUCAAACUCAGAGGAGAAAAGGCAAAGAAAUAGACAUGAAAGUAGUGCUUAAUUAGCUAGGGUGGAGGGAAACAUGAAAGGAAAGUGUGGGUGGCUGGGUGGCAUAUCACCAAAAAAAAAAAAAGGAAGAAGAUUUAUCUGGAAAAAAAAAAAAGAUUAUUGAACGAACACUGGAGACACACACAUCCCUAUCAGGAUACACACUUUUACAUAUUUGUUAUUUAAAAAAUAAGAAUUAUUAUAGACUUUCUAGAUCAUAUCCUAAUUAAUUACUUGAUGAUUUGGACUUAUAUAUGAGAAAGGGACAGUAUGAUUAGCUGGGGUACUAUUUUGUCUAGAACAUAUUUUGUGACAAAUGAUUCCAUCCCUAAUCAAAAGUAAUCUCAUGCACUAAUAUGCAACAAGUGAUAUGAAUUUUUGAAUAAUAGUUAGGUAACUAAUUAUAAUUCAGUAGUAAUUUACUAUGGUAUAACCAAGGUUCCAUGUAGAGCUUAUUUUUAUUGAUCAAAGCUAAUUAAAUGAUAAAUCCUGUCUUGAAAAUACAGUUGAGUACUUUUUAGUUAGCACUUACGAAGAUUUGCUUAGCAUCCCCUUAAUCUUGGAGAUACUAAACAAAAUUGUUACAGUGGCGUUAUUAGUUGUCAUUUG
RNAcentral lists this long non-coding RNA (657 nucleotides) under Capsicum annuum. RNAcentral's name for it is "long non-coding RNA (CANN_LNC003650)". Lineage: Eukaryota; Viridiplantae; Streptophyta; Magnoliopsida; Solanales; Solanaceae. The record is from RNAcentral.